UGGGGAAUAUUGGACAAUGGGCGAAAGCCUGAUCCAGCCAUGCCGCGUGUGUGAAGAAGGUCUUCGGAUUGUAAAGCACUUUAAGUUGGGAGGAAGGGCAGUAAGCGAAUACCUUGCUGUUUUGACGUUACCGACAGAAUAAGCACCGGCUAACUCUGUGCCAGCAGCCGCGGUAAUACAGAGGGUGCAAGCGUUAAUCGGAAUUACUGGGCGUAAAGCGCGCGUAGGUGGUUCGUUAAGUUGAAUGUGAAAUCCCCGAGCUUAACUUGGGAAUUGCAUUCGAUACUGGUUAGCUAGAGUGUGGGAGAGGAUGGUAGAAUUCCAGGUGUAGCGGUGAAAUGCGUAGAGAUCUGGAGGAAUACCGAUGGCGAAGGCAGCCAUCUGGCCUAACACUGACGCUGAGGUACGAAAGCAUGGGGAGCAAACAGG
This 429-nucleotide ribosomal RNA is filed under the name Pseudomonadota bacterium. RNAcentral describes it as "Proteobacteria bacterium partial 16S ribosomal RNA". It matches the Rfam family "Bacterial small subunit ribosomal RNA", at positions 355 to 776 of the family's 1533-position model. Lineage: Bacteria; Pseudomonadati; Pseudomonadota. The record is from RNAcentral.